AGACAUUAAUUAUUUUUUUCCAAAUCUAGCCUUGCUCUAAUAAUAUUGACAUAAAAAGUCUGAGGAGCGAUAAAGGGUAACUUGAAGAGAUAUAAAGGGUAACAUUGUCAAAUAACCCUUAUAAUUAUUGUUAUUAAAUGGUUUUCUUAAUGGGUGUGCCAUAACCUUAAUAGACAUUUAAACUGGAUUAGAGGUAGUAGUAUAUAAAUGCCUUAUGUCUCUGAUCGUUUUGGCUAAGAGGAACUUGAUAUGAUUAAAUUUUUUCUACAAGAUUAAUAUUGUAAACGAAUUUUUAAAUGUAGGAGGCGAUCCCUUUCAGGAUUAGGGAGCACACUCUUGAUCUUUAUAUGGUGUGUGGAACAACAAUAUUAGUGAAACUACAUGUCCAUUAGCUAUGUGCUAUACCAUUGGCUCUGGAUGUAGUUGUAAUGUCACAAACAUGCCCGUGAAGCAAAAGUACAAUAAAUAAGCUUGCCUGGAAAGAAGGAAAGUUAUUCCGAAAGACAGCAAGCAGGCGAUCCAUUUUCUACGGUUUCUGCAAUGCUGGUUGCUAGAGUAGCAGGUACACGUAGUUGCAUGCCUCCAAGGAGUGGUGUCUUUUUGCUUUUACUAUGUCUACUUCAUAAUUUAUUCAAGGUCUACCUACUAAUAUAAGAGUAUAAAUCUUUUUUGAAGAGUGCCAUGUUGCUACUCUAGGGCAUUUUGUGAAUCAGAGUCUUAAUUGCUCCUCGAUUGUUCGUACCUUCUUGGCUUAGGCUUCCAACUGAACAACAUGGCCUUGCCGCC
This is a non-coding RNA of Nicotiana tabacum (common tobacco), 786 nucleotides long. NCBI's taxonomy places the organism in Eukaryota, Viridiplantae, Streptophyta, Magnoliopsida, Solanales, Solanaceae. The record is from RefSeq and is a predicted model, not a curated record.